GGGGUAGAGCACUGUUUCGGCUAGGGGGUCAUCCCGACUUACCAACCCGAUGCAAACUCCGAAUACCUGUGAGUACUAUCCGGGAGACACACGGUGGGUGCUAACGUCCAUCGUGAAGAGGGAAACAACCCAGACCGCCAGCUAAGGUCCCCAAGUACCAGUUAAGUGGGAAACGAUGUGGGAAGGCUCAGACAGCUAGGAGGUUGGCUUAGAAGCAGCCAUCCUUUAAAGAAAGCGUAA
This 240-nucleotide ribosomal RNA is filed under the name Alexandrium margalefii. Its description in RNAcentral is "partial Bacterial large subunit ribosomal RNA". It matches the Rfam family "Bacterial large subunit ribosomal RNA", at positions 899 to 1137 of the family's 2925-position model. Lineage: Eukaryota; Dinophyceae; Gonyaulacales; Pyrocystaceae. The record is from RNAcentral.